GACGAACGCUGGCGGCGUGCUUAACACAUGCAAGUCGAACGGAAAGGCCCUGCUUUUGUGGGGUGCUCGAGUGGCGAACGGGUGAGUAACACGUGAGUAACCUGCCCUUGACUUUGGGAUAACUUCAGGAAACUAGGGCUAAUACCGGAUAGGAGCUCCUGCUGCAUGGUGGGGGUUGGAAAGUUUCGGCGGUUGGGGAUGGACUCGCGGCUUAUCAGCUUGUUGGUGGGGUAGUGGCUUACCAAGGCUUUGACGGGUAGCCGGCCUGAGAGGGUGACCGGCCACAUUGGGACUGAGAUACGGCCCAGACUCCUACGGGAGGCAGCAGUGGGGAAUAUUGCACAAUGGGCGGAAGCCUGAUGCAGCAACGCCGCGUGCGGGAUGACGGCCUUCGGGUUGUAAACCGCUUUCGCCUGUGACGAAGCGUGAGUGACGGUAAUGGGUAAAGAAGCACCGGCUAACUACGUG
RNAcentral lists this ribosomal RNA (468 nucleotides) under uncultured bacterium. Its description in RNAcentral is "partial 16S ribosomal RNA". It matches the Rfam family "Bacterial small subunit ribosomal RNA", at positions 28 to 507 of the family's 1533-position model. The record is from RNAcentral.